RNAcentral lists this ribosomal RNA (372 nucleotides) under uncultured organism. RNAcentral's name for it is "bacterial SSU rRNA". It matches the Rfam family "Bacterial small subunit ribosomal RNA", at positions 526 to 896 of the family's 1533-position model. The record is from RNAcentral.
CGGAGGGGGCGAGCGUUAUUCGGAAUUAUUGGGCGUAAAGGGCGCGUAGGCGGCCCGGUAAGUCAAAGGUGAAAUCCCUCGGCUCAACUGAGGAACUGCCUUUGAAACUGUCGGGCUUGAGGCCGGGAGGGGGUAGCGGAAUUCCCAGUGUAGCGGUGAAAUGCGUAGAUAUUGGGAGGAACACCGGUGGCGAAGGCGGCUACCUGGACCGGUUCUGACGCUGAUGCGCGAAAGCGUGGGUAGCAAACAGGAUUAGAUACCCUGGUAGUCCACGCUGUAAACGAUGAGUGCUCGGUGUCGCGGGUAUCGACCCCUGCGGUGCCUUAGCUAACGCGUUAAGCACUCCGCCUGGGGAGUACGGUCGCAAGGCUG